Molecule: ribosomal RNA, 254 nt
Filed under: uncultured bacterium
Lineage: Bacteria
Description: partial 16S ribosomal RNA
Rfam family: Bacterial small subunit ribosomal RNA
Source: RNAcentral
UACGGGGGGGGGCAAGCGUUUGUUCGGAAUUACUGGGCGUAAAGGGCGUGUAGGCGGCCAACUAAGUCCGACGUGAAAUCCCCAGCUUAACCUGGGAACUGCGUCGGAUACUGGAUGGCUUGAAUUCGGGAGAGGGAUGCAGAAUUCCAGGUGUAGCGGUGAAAUGCGUAGAUAUCUGGAGGAAUACCGGUGGCGAAGGCGGCAUCCUGGACCGAGAUUGACGCUGAAGCGCGAAAGCUAGGGGAGCAAACGGG